CCGAGAACUGGCUGAGCCGCGCCAAGGCCUCCGAGGCCAUGCGGGCGCGGUUCGAUGCGGCAUUCGCGGA
This 70-nucleotide transfer RNA is filed under the name Mycolicibacterium helvum. RNAcentral's name for it is "tRNA-Arg". The record is from RNAcentral. Lineage: Bacteria; Bacillati; Actinomycetota; Actinomycetes; Mycobacteriales; Mycobacteriaceae.